AGUGAACGCUGGCGGUAGGCCUAACACAUGCAAGUCGAACGGCGGCACAGUAAGAUCUUGCUCUUACGGGUGGCGAGUGGCGGACGGGUGAGGAAUACAUCGGAAUCUACUUUUUCGUGGGGGAUAACGUAGGGAAACUUACGCUAAUACCGCAUACGACCUACGGGUGAAAGCAGGGGAUCUUCGGAUCUUGCCCGAUUGAAUGAGCCGAUGUCGGAUUAGCUAGUUGGCGGGGUAAAGGCCCACCAAGGCGACGAAUCGUAGCUGGCAUGAGAGGAUGGUCAGCCACACUGGAACUGAGACACGGUCCAGACUCCUACGGGGGGCAGCAGUGGGGAAUAUUGGUCAAUGGGCGCAAGCCGGAUCCAGCCAUACCGCGUGAGUGAAGAAGGCCUUCGGCUUGUAAAGCGCUUUUGUUGGGAAAGAAAAGCAGCAGGUUAAUAACCCGCUGUUCUGACGGUACCCAAAGAAUAAGCACCGGCUAACUUCGUG
This 492-nucleotide ribosomal RNA is filed under the name uncultured bacterium. RNAcentral describes it as "partial 16S ribosomal RNA". It matches the Rfam family "Bacterial small subunit ribosomal RNA", at positions 29 to 507 of the family's 1533-position model. The record is from RNAcentral.